This is a long non-coding RNA of Alosa alosa (allis shad), 309 nucleotides long. RefSeq lists it as uncharacterized. The transcript has 3 exons. The record is from RefSeq and is a predicted model, not a curated record. NCBI's taxonomy places the organism in Eukaryota, Metazoa, Chordata, Actinopteri, Clupeiformes, Clupeidae.
AUCAGCAAUGAUUUAGCGAAAAAGUUUAACUGGAUGGGCAGGGGGCAGAAAAGUCCUUUUUCUGUGUUGCACCUGGCAAAAGUCAUCAUAGAUGCUGCCAAAAAACAAGGGGCCACCUUAAUGGAGGCAGAAGAAAAGAUAAAAACAUGGCUAAAAUACAGCGGUGACCGAAAUGGAGGAAGAAAAAGGAGAUCAGAAAAGGAGAGGCAGACACAUUCCCCAUCACAUCCUCCAACCUCCGUGACGAAUGGUGCCGGGACACUGUAGUAGUAUGCAAACACUGCUCACCACUGGCAGAGUUUAUGAUCA